AUGAUGACAUCAUUGAUAGGACUGCUCCUCCUGCUUUCUCUCGGCCAGGUUGUUGUUGUGAAUGAGAAUGAGAUGUUGGUCCACUCAGCUGGUUACAGAAAUAAUCAAAUCCUUCCCGUCAGGUCUCCUCCUGGUAGAAUGUCUGAAACACCUCCCAUGGAAGGAGUCGUGAUGUCAAAGCCACCUUUACUGACUCCUUCUGAUGAGGAGCUCCUCACCUGUUCCCUACAAGAUGGGCGUGACCGGAGGUGGCCAGCUGCAGACCCUCUGCAGGUGGGCGUGACCGGAGGUGGCCAAGCUGCAGACCCUCUGCAGGUGGGCGUGACCGGAGGUGGCCAAGCUGCAGACCCUCUGCAGGUGGGCGUGUCCGGAGGUGGCCAAGCUGCAGACCCUCUGCUCAUCAGUCGGCCCGGGAGUAUUCAAGCAGCUGAGAGACACCUUCACUUCGGCUGGAGGAUUACUCCACCUGGGUCCCGUCUAACAGCCACUUGUGAAUCGUAUUCCUGCUCCUUACCUUUGAGAAUUUCAUGUGUUUUUGGAAAUUGGAUUUUUGCUUUUGACCUCCUGCUCUUGUCUCCAGACAAACCUUCACCCUCGUGUUGGACUGGCAGAACUCUGGAGCCCACACCAUCUGGACCUCCAACCCCGCUCGUCUCUCAGAACCACCUCCAGCACCCUACCUAGACUCCCCUGGAUCUACAAACUCAGCUCCCUCCACGUCUCUCCCUCUCUGGAUCUCAGCAUCAGGACAACCCUGUCAGCCCAGACCGGACCACUUCCCCCCUCGAGCCAUUAUCUCCCUCUCCAGAAUGUAAGUCCUCCACGCCAUUCAGGUUCCCCCGGAUUCCCGUUGAAGACAUCAGCUACGUUUGAUGCUGCUCCCUUGGUUCUCCUUUUAAUAAAAGAUCAUUUAACAACUUUCACCAAAGACUCGUAGUGGGUUAGACAUUUACCCCACAUCAUGACACUUUAGGCGUCUGAGUUAUUUCCAGACGGUUCCCCGAAAGGCGUAGUGAGUCCCUUAAGGUGGACAACCGUGUGGAGAAGUGACAGAGUAGUGCACCAGCCCCGGUGAUGAACAGCAGUCGGAGCAUGUAGGGAGGAGACAGACAGUCAGAGGAGGCCCAGGAGUAAGUCACGGGUUUGAAGGAGAUGUUAUUGUAGAAAGGAGAGAACUCUACACCAGACCUGUGUCUAUCUGGAUCCAAGUAAUCUAGAGAGACCUCACCAGUGUGUACCAUGGUGGUCUGUAGGACAUGCUGUCCGGGGGAAGGGACUUUGACAGUGGCGUACCUGUAGAUGUUGACCGAUGAGACGCCCAAGUUAAAGAGCGACCCAAAUGUAUUAUCAAAUAAGAGGAACUCGGAGAGAAAACGCCUCUCCCUGCCCUGGGUACCAGAGAUUACAGAAAUGGAAACUGUGAAGUUCUGUACCUGUAGUAGCUGUGAGAGAUGUCGGCGUUAGAGUGCCCCACACUCGUGUGAGUAAAGUUAGUACUUGUGUCAGAAAGUGUGUUAAAGGGACUUAUUAGUUUCCUAGUGCAUGCUAUGUCAGGGUCGAACUUUAAGAAAACAUUUUGUGUGAAUAGACGGUAGUUGGUCAUUAACAGACCUGGGCUCUCCCUGAGCGUGGAAGAAGAAGAAGAAGAAGAAGAAGAAGAAGAAGAAGAAGAAGAAGAAGAAGAAGAAGAAGAAGAAGAAGAAGAAGA
Molecule: long non-coding RNA, 1708 nt
Filed under: Nothobranchius furzeri (turquoise killifish)
Lineage: Eukaryota; Metazoa; Chordata; Actinopteri; Cyprinodontiformes; Nothobranchiidae
Description: lncRNA (ENSNFUG00015019844.1)
Source: RNAcentral